CUGACGUCGGCUCGCUCUGACGUCGGCGCUGUCUGGCUCCAGUCUGAGGCCGUCCUGGUUUUGAAGUCAGCCCGGACGCCGGCCGACGGUUUCCACACCCAGCCUGGAAGCCGAAACGCGCACGUGAAGCCUGAAAGCCCAUGAAGGGAACGACUGCGACGCUGGGAUCCCGAGACGCGGCCUCCCCGCCUGGAGAGGCAGCCAGCGAGCGGCAGGUUCGGCGGCCGGGCAGCUGAGAGAGUCAUUACUGUGAUCUGUGGGACAUUCUAUACAUGAGCUGAUACUUCUCUUCCUUCUCCUUGGUCUCUAAGAAUGAGUCCAGACCCAUUCUGGGACUCAGAGAACUCUUUCUGGACCGUCUCUUCCCUCUCACCGCCAGCCACCAUCUCCCAUCCAUCAGUUUGUAAGGCCAUGUGAGGACAGUGAGAAGGCCGUGAUCGCAGCCCAAGGAGAGAGGCAUCACCAGACACAGACUCUGCUGCCGCUUUGAUCUCAGACUUCCCAGCCUCUAGCACUGUCCUGGCUGGCUAGAAGCUUUCAGAAUGACUGUUUCCAUUCAAUGUGGUCUCAUAGCAUGCAGAAGAAUUUCAGAGAUUUUCAGUUGGAAUAGUGGUGGCAAGGCAACCACACAUUCUUAAAGUAUUGCAAAUGAACUUUUGCCCCCUUGGUCAUGGGGCAAACACAAAGAUCUUGAUGGACUCUCCUCCUUUGUCCCCCCUGCUCUCCUGUUCUGUGCCCUGCUCUGUUGCUGCGCUGGUUCUCUUGAGACAUUUCCCAUCAUGGUGUAACCUCUAAGACCUUGCAAAGAUUGACAUGUCUCUAAGAAUGUGCCAAACAGAUCUAGAGCAAUGGUUUUCAACCAGGGAAGACUACCACCUUCCUCUUCCCCUACAACCACAGACAUUCAACAAUGCUUUGGGUUGUCACAACUGUAGAUUGUGCUGCUGAACAUCUCAGAGUACACAGGCAAUCUUUUGCAGUAAAGGAUGAUUCAAGCCAAAAUGUCUUUAGUUCCACUGUUAUGGAACCUUGAUCUAAAAUACCUUAUACUUUCUUUGUAGGUUGCUUCUUGGGAAAGGACCACUGAAUUAGAGUAGGUGUCUCUACAAGCAUCUCUUAGAGUGCA
This is a long non-coding RNA of Panthera uncia (snow leopard), 1126 nucleotides long. RefSeq lists it as uncharacterized. The transcript is spliced from 5 exons. NCBI's taxonomy places the organism in Eukaryota, Metazoa, Chordata, Mammalia, Carnivora, Felidae. The record is from RefSeq and is a predicted model, not a curated record.